Molecule: small RNA, 33 nt
Filed under: Bombyx mori (domestic silkworm)
Lineage: Eukaryota; Metazoa; Arthropoda; Insecta; Lepidoptera; Bombycidae
Description: ovarian small RNA-10242
Source: RNAcentral
AACAGGAACUGAGCCAUAGUGGCCCGGUUGCGC